This 253-nucleotide ribosomal RNA is filed under the name uncultured bacterium. Its description in RNAcentral is "partial 16S ribosomal RNA". It matches the Rfam family "Bacterial small subunit ribosomal RNA", at positions 524 to 776 of the family's 1533-position model. The record is from RNAcentral.
UACGAAGGGGGCUAGCGUUGUUCGGAAUCACUGGGCGUAAAGCGUACGUAGGCGGUCCAUUAAGUCGGGGGUGAAAUCCCAGGGCUCAACCCUGGAACUGCCUUCGAUACUGGUGGUCUGGAGUCCGGGAGAGGUGAGUGGAACUCCUAGUGUAGAGGUGAAAUUCGUAGAUAUUAGGAAGAACACCAGUGGCGAAGGCGGCUCACUGGCCCGGUACUGACGCUGAGGUACGAAAGCGUGGGGAGCAAACAGG